AUUUUGUAUUGCGAUGUUUGCCAUUUGCUGUAAUACCAGUAAUUAUCCUAUAACGACAUCUUCAUAAUUUGUAAGAAUGAGGAAUAAUAUAUAAAGAAGUUUAAAAAACUAAACUAAACAAAAAACCUGUAUUCUCUUUAAUCUUUGUUUCCCAUUCCUCCCAGUAGUGUCUAAGGUUAUCUAACUGCAAAGAAGGUUGUUUGAGAGCCAGUUCGUACCUUUUUUUUUUU
This is a non-coding RNA of Pelobates cultripes (western spadefoot toad), 230 nucleotides long. NCBI's taxonomy places the organism in Eukaryota, Metazoa, Chordata, Amphibia, Anura, Pelobatidae. The record is from the annotation of a GenBank genome assembly.